RNAcentral lists this transfer RNA (70 nucleotides) under Ifremeria nautilei. RNAcentral's name for it is "tRNA-Pro". Lineage: Eukaryota; Metazoa; Mollusca; Gastropoda; Provannidae. The record is from RNAcentral.
CGAAAUCGUAGUUUAAGCAAAAUAUUAGCAUUGGAAGCUAAAGAUUAGGUAAAAUACUCCUACAUUUCGA